This 253-nucleotide ribosomal RNA is filed under the name uncultured bacterium. Its description in RNAcentral is "partial 16S ribosomal RNA". It matches the Rfam family "Bacterial small subunit ribosomal RNA", at positions 524 to 776 of the family's 1533-position model. The record is from RNAcentral.
UACGUAGGGGGCAAGCGUUGUCCGGAAUCAUUGGGCGUAAAGAGCGCGUAGGCGGUCCGUUAAGUGUAGAGUGAAAGCUCCGGGCUCAACUCGGAAAUUGCUCUGCAUACUGGCGGACUCGAGGACGGAAGAGGUUUGUGGAAUUCCUGGUGUAGCGGUGAAAUGCGUAGAUAUCAGGAGGAACACCCAUGGCGAAGGCAGCAAACUGGUCCGUAUCUGACGCUGAGGCGCGAAAGCGUGGGUAGCAAACAGG